This 253-nucleotide ribosomal RNA is filed under the name uncultured bacterium. Its description in RNAcentral is "partial 16S ribosomal RNA". It matches the Rfam family "Bacterial small subunit ribosomal RNA", at positions 524 to 776 of the family's 1533-position model. The record is from RNAcentral.
UACGUAGGUGGCGAGCGUUGUCCGGAAUUACUGGGUGUAAAGGGCGCGCAGGCGGGGACAUAAGUCAGAUGUGAAAGUCCAUGGCUCAACUGUGGGAUUGCAUCUGAAACUAUGUAUCUUGAGUGCUGGAGAGGAAAGCGGAAUUCCCAGUGUAGCGGUGAAAUGCGUAGAGAUUGGGAGGAACACCAGUGGCGAAGGCGGCUUUCUGGACAGUAACUGACGCUGAGGCGCGAAAGCGUGGGGAGCGAACAGG